UGCCUAUUCUGCUGCCAGUACUGGCCUAUCUCUACCCUUGAACUCUCACACUUCUAAGUUCAAGUUUCUAAUCAAAUAAAGAUAACAACACCAAGCCAAGAUGUCCGACAAAAAGAUGACAUCGAGUCGCAAGAAUCAUCUGAAGAGCGUAAUGCUUCAGAUUGCUUCAACACGACUUGAAGAAGAGGUAGCUGAGAUUGCAAAGGCAAAGGAGGCCUACCUGGAGGAGCACUGCCCUUCCCUUAGUCUACCUGGCAGUGUUGAGGAACUUCAGAAACUGAUCAAAGACAUCCACGGCAAGAUUGACAAAGUGGAUGAGGAGAGAUACGACGCAGAUGCCAAAGUGACAAAGGGACAAAAGGAGAUAGACGACCUCAAGAUCAAGGUAACAGAGAUAAAGGGCAUGAAGAAGCCAGCUCUGAAGAAAGUACGUUUGUCUGCCGAUCAGAUGCUUCAGGCUCUGCUGGGCUCAAAGCACAAGGUUACCAUGGACUUGAGGUCCAACCUGAAGCAGGUGAAGAAGGAGGUCAAGCAGGAGAGUGCAGAGGUUGGUGACUGGCGCCAGAACGUUGAGGACAAGAAGGACAGAAAGAAGAUGUUUGAGGGCGCUGAGGCAUAAAUUUAAGAGACAUCUGCCAGAAGAAAAGCAUUGUACACAUGGACAAAAUGGAUGGACUGAGGACAUUUGUUCUUUUCGCUUAAUGUCUUUUUAUGUUCCCUAUACCUUGACAGAAACAAAUGCCUUUCAUUCUCAAAAUCCACUGAAUUUAGAUAGAGCUAACAUGUCACUGUUGUAGACCAUAUUAAACAAUGGACUUUAAAAUUCCUACUGUUUUGGCUUUUUGUGCAUAAUGUUUUAGCAGAUAGAUUUGACUCUCUUGUAGUUAGUAUUCAACUACAGUAUGCGGCAGAUUUAUUUCACAAGAUAUUGAGUUUGCCCACCCCCCGUCUAACCCACCCACCUAGGCACACACAAACACACAAACACACACCAUACACUCAUCUUUUUUGCCACUCUGUCUUUCUCUCUCUGACAUGCUCUCCAUCAGUCUUACUUGGGGACAAGUUUAAGCACAUUUCAUUGGGAUCUAACAUAUACACAUUUGUAGUGCAGUGGAAGCCUACUCAAAAGUUAACACUUCGGCACAAGUUGGUGCAUUGGUGAGUUAUAUGUUGCGUAAAUCUUUUAAAGAAUGUAACUUCAGUGUCAUUAUUGUAUAAAGACAUCACAUAUCUGAUUUUAUGAAGUGUGACACAUCAAUUGAAUCUCCAAAGGCACGUUACAUGUGUGUCUCCUAAGUUGUCUCCUAACAGGGUUAAAGAGGAGGGAUAUGCAGUAGACAGCUGAAGACAUGAGGAUGGUGGCAGGGAGUGACCGAAUGGAAUACAGCAACUUGAGGAGAUGCUCCUCCCCUCUGUUUCAAGGUCCACUUCAGCAUACACACACUCAUAGUCUCUAGUACUUUCCAUGUACAACAUCUUUCCAUAUUUCCUGAAUAAUCCCUUAGAUUUUGUGACACAACAACUUCCUAAAGAUGCAGCGAGUAUCUUAUUGCCACACUGGCAUCCCAGCUGCCCCUACUUGCACCAGGAGCUUGUGUUGAUAGAGAAUAUGGUCCAGUUGUCUGUAACAUGAUACACAAUAAUAUCUUGAAUAUCUUUAAGAUAGAGGUAAGAUGUAAGCGUGUUAGUCAGACAUCUAGAAUAAUGACACAUUUUUCUGUGUUUCAUUUUCUAUGUCUAUUUUAAGCAAAGCUAAAUUGAGCUGGAUUUGCAGGAGUGGCAUGACCAUAAACAGGGAAGGAUAUUUUGUAGCAUCAGAUGCUACCAGGCAUAAAAACGAGACCUGCCUAUUCUGCUAAUGCCAGUGCUUGCCAAUCUCUAUCCUUGAACUCUCACACCUCUAAGUUCAACUUCUAAUCAGAUAAAGAUAACAACACCAAGCCAAGAUGUCCGA
Molecule: RNA transcript, 1957 nt
Organism: Alosa sapidissima (American shad)
Lineage: Eukaryota; Metazoa; Chordata; Actinopteri; Clupeiformes; Clupeidae
Gene name: troponin I, fast skeletal muscle-like
Exons: 9
Source: RefSeq, a predicted model, not a curated record